Molecule: microRNA precursor, 94 nt
Filed under: Heligmosomoides polygyrus
Lineage: Eukaryota; Metazoa; Nematoda; Chromadorea; Rhabditida; Heligmosomidae
Description: microRNA hpo-mir-10061 precursor
Source: miRBase by way of RNAcentral
GGUGCUUCGCGAUUCGGAACUGUAUGUACGUCGGUUGGGAGACCUGGUCUUCCUGUACCGACGGUCGUGUUGUGAUUCCGAACGCUCUGCACGC